UACGUAGGCAGCAAGCGUUGUUCGGAAUUACUGGGCGUAAAGAGUGUGUAGGCGGUGCUCUAAGUCUGUUGUGAAAUCUCCCGGCUUAACCGGGAGGGUGCGGCGGAAACUGGAGUGCUUGAGGGUGGGAGAGGUAAGCGGAAUUCCGGGUGUAGCGGUGGAAUGCGUAGAGAUCCGGAAGAACACCGGUGGCGAAGGCGGCCUGCUGGGGUCUGGCUGACGCUGAGGCGCGACAGCGUGGGGAGCAAACAGG
Molecule: ribosomal RNA, 253 nt
Filed under: uncultured bacterium
Lineage: Bacteria
Description: partial 16S ribosomal RNA
Rfam family: Bacterial small subunit ribosomal RNA
Source: RNAcentral